AAAAAAAAAAAAGUAUAUGUUCCUCAUCAUUGUCUUCAGUGCUUUUCCAAGUAUUUUAAAAUAUCAGAGUACAUAUUUCAUAUUUCAUUAUCACUCAGCAGCAUGAGAAUAAUAGCCUUCAUAUAGCAUACAUAGCUAAAACUCAAACAUUCAUUUCUGUCCUUAAUUUCAACAUUUAACUCCCAUCUGUUCUUCUCCCUUUUUUCUUUCAUUUCCCUGUUUCUGUUUUUCCUCAUGCUCUGACAUUAAAGUGGUUGCGCUGAAAAGACUGCCCUUUUUGAGGAACAGACCGAAGGAUAAAGACAAAAUGAAGGCCUGCUACCGUCGUUCCAUGUCCAUGAAUGACCUGGUGCAGUCCAUGGUCCUAGCAGGACAGUGGACAGGUAGUACUGAGAAUUUGGAGGUUCCUGAUGAUAUUUCAAUGGGUAAAAGGAGAAAAGAAUUGGGAGCUAUGGCCUUCUCUACUACAGCCAUCAACUUUUCAACUGUCAACUCUUCUGCAGGCUUCAGAUCCAAGCAGUUGGUUAAUAAUAAAGAUACUACGUCCUUUGAAGACAUAAGUCCACAAGGUGUUAGUGAUGAUUCUAGUACGGGAUCAAGAGUUCAUGCUUCAAGACCAGCCAGCCUUGAUAGUGGCAGAACAUCCACUAGCAAUAGCAAUAAUAAUGCUUCACUACAUGAAGUCAAAGCAGGUGAGCAGUUAAUAACCAAAGCAGGCCAGCAAAGCCACAGCAGUGGAGAAUUUAGCCUGCUUCAUGACCAUGAGGCUUGGUCCAGCAGUGGUAGCAGUCCAAUCCAGUACUUGAAAAGACAGACCAGAUCAAGUCCAGUGCUCCAACACAAAAUAUCUGAAACACUGGAGAGUCGACAUCACAAAAUCAAAACUGGUUCCCCUGGAAGUGAAGUUGUUACUCUACAACAGUUUUUGGAAGAAAGCAAUAAGCUUACCUCAAUACAGAUAAAGUCCUCAAGUCAAGAAAAUCUUUUAGAUGAAGUAAUGAAAAGUCUGUCUGUUUCUUCUGACUUUUUGGGAAAAGACAAACCAGUUAGCUGUGGUCUGGCCAGUUCUGCAGGAAAACCUACACCAGGCACUCAAGGAAAGAUAAAAUUAGUAAAAGAAUCUUCUCUGUCACGACAAUCAAAAGAUAGUAACCCUUAUGCCACUUUACCUCGUGCAAGCAGCGUGAUCUCAACUGCUGAAGGAACUACAAGAAGGACAAGCAUCCAUGAUUUUUUGACCAAGGACAGUAGACUGCCUAUAUCAGUUGAUUCAUCACCAGCUGCUGCUGACAGCAACACCACUGCAGCAUCUAAUGUGGACAAAGUACAAGAAAGCAGAAAUUCAAAAAGCAGGUCUAGGGAGCAACAAAGCUCCUAAUUCUGUUACCCACUACAUGACAUGUGGGCCAAGUGGUGAGUUUCCUGCUUAAAAUGUAAAUGAGAUUAGUCUCAUUUAUACAAACUAACCAAAUUAAGUGUGAAACAAGAGCACAUUGCAUUAACAGAUGUAAAUAUUGCUUGCUUGACUCAUUGACUUUCUGUUCUACUUACUAGUGAAGCAAGAUUAGUUGGCUGCCAUAGGUUUUUACUUGUCAGCGCAAGGAACAAGUUUUUUUGUUUUUAAGUUUUUUUCUCACUUUAAAUUUAAUUUUACUAGUGAAUUAUGUUCUAGGAAUUACUUUUUUAGUUUGAAGCCUUUUGUGGUAGGAAUACAACUUCCCCACAGUUUUCUUGAAAAUUAAUGAGAAUAAACUAAAUGCCUAUUCUAUGAUGAGCCACUCAAAAAUUAUCUCUGAUUUUCUGUCAUUCUCAUUCUUAUAGAAAUAUCUGGUGCAUGCUGUUCUUAUAGUGGCUGCUCUGCAUUUUGUAUCUCUCUUCACGCUUUUCUUGUAUUUUCUUUCUUCUUUCUGCCUUCCAACUAAAUACAGAGAGAAAAGUGUCCUUCAGUUUCUCAGUAUGAAGCCUUUAUUUCUGAAGUAACAAGACACCUAGCAACUAUAGGAAUCAUGUUUUACAAUCUUUAAGGAGACUUUUAACAGUCCUUCGUGAAUAGAGCAGGCAAGAAAUACACACCUUCAUGCCUUGAAUCAAGGAGCACUACUGGAUUCAACUGCCAAAAUUCUUUAAAGGUUUUAGGACUUACUAUACCUUGUACUGUUAAGAUCUACUGAAAAAAGGACGUUCUCUCGCUAAGGACCAAGUGUUUUAAGGUGAAGUGUUUAAAGAAGUACUCCAAGAACAAUCUGCUUUUUUCAUCAUUUGUUUUAUGAAUUUAUCCAUGUUUGCUUAAUGCUUCUGCUAAGUGUUAGCCAAAAUCUAGCCAUUUAUAUUUAGUUGUGUAAACCUAAAUUAAAUGCUGUAGUAUUUUGCGGAAUGUACUAUAUAGCAAUAUACAGAGAAAGUUGUUUUGGCAUGUCAGAGCCUUAUUUGGUUAGCAGACUGCAUGUGUUGGUACUUUUUUUUUCUUAAAGCCAAUUAUUUUGAUGCAAAAGAAAUUCAGUUUAUAAGAUAAAUCUGAAAAAUCCAUAAUGAAAUAGGAGUUAUAAAAAAUUUAUAGUGAUAUUAAUCUUUACAUAUUUCCCAUUAAGCAACACUAAGCAUACAUGCGUUAAUCCACGGUAAAGAGUGUUUUUCUGAAACUUUUUUUAGUAAGAUGGUUUUCCAGCAAAUGGCAUUCCCAAGAUAAAGCUGUUGUGCUUUAACUCAUUUCUUUUCUUUGGUAUUGGGUUAUGUAUGUGUGUGUAUUUUUUUAACUUGAGAGCUGACUGUUGCUUAAGAAGUUUUCUAAUGGCAAAAAGAAUGUAAAUAACUUACUAUGAUCUGCAUUUUGCCAGAAACUCAUUUAUAAUUAAGGCUAUCAUUUAUUAAUGACUUUUUUUCUCCUUUAUAAUAUUACAUUAAAGUUGAUAAUUGUUAUUGGUACUUUUGAAAUAUUUGUAUGCAUUUGUUACCUUUAAACAUUUGGAAGAAGCACAAAAAAAUAGAUUUAGUUAACCCAGGAAACAUCAAUUUUUUUAGUAGUUCCAAUUUUAUAUCACAGUUUUAUUUUCUUAUGAAAUCAAAAAAUGCAUUGAUACUCAUUAAUGCAAAUUCAUUAUUUAACAUCAAUAUCAGAGUAAUCUUCAAGGUCUGAAAUGAGAAAGAUACUGACUUUUUAAAAUUUUAACAGUGUACUUCUUAGGCUUUCAUUACCAGCUCUAAAGAACUUUUUGGAAUAAUUCCAUAUUCCGUAGUGUGUGGUUUAUGAGUUGUGGGUUUCAUCACUAACCCAGUAACCAUGAGAAAAGUCUCUCUCCCUCUGUCUCUCUUUCUCUCUCUCUUUCGUAGGCCAGUAGCAAUGUUGUGUUCACAGUUUGCUUUCCAAAAGACCAUGAAUAAAAAAGAGAGCAUGUUUCAAUUGAAAUGGAACUUAAGAGAACUUGAACUUACUUACAUACUUCAAUGCCACUUAUAACUUAGGUUUUACCACCAAAUGCUGUUAACAUUAAAUCAUUUUGAAACUCUUGGAUGAAAGGUGCUAUGUAAAUGUAAAUACAAAGGAUUCUUACUAACAUACAAAUAAUGCACAACAGAAAUAUUUAAAACCUAUUCUGUAGUCUUUGAAACAUCUCUCUCUGUCAUAACUCCCUGGAUUCAAGUAGCACAUUGGUAAUAGGUGUCAGAGCAGUCUAGAGACACUUGCAUGUCAAAAAAUGUACAUUCAUUUUUAGGUGGAUAAAAGUAAACAUAGAAAUUAUGUUAUGGCUAAAUACAGUAAGUGGGUAACUUAGAUUUAUAUUAGCUAGCAUCUAAUUUGCACAACUAGAACAUAUCCCAGAACAAUUACUGAAAAGCUGAAAUUUAAUGAGUGGUGAGGUAGCCCAAUGAGGGCGAAUGACAUCACAGCUUGACCUCUCCAGAACACUAAUAUCUUAAAAUAGAGAAUAUGCUGCGUUAAGUGCAUUAGUGCUUCAAGCAGAAAAUGCUGAAAAACAGCCUGUAAAGUACUGAAUCUGAGUAGGCUGACCCUGAGAAGGGACAGUUAAAGAGACAACCAAGGGAACACAUUGAGACUACAAAAAUAUGAAUAAUCUCAAUUAUAUUCAUCACACUUUUUUCAUACCAUUUCAAGAAAGGACUAGAUAAGAGUAACCACAUGAAUAUUUUACUUUCUCCAGUAUACCUUGAGAAGCAAACUUUGUAGGAAGCCACUCUUCUCCCUUAAACUUCUGCCAAACAAUAAUAAAGUCAACUGGAAACUAAUUGGAGCCGUUUUAACUGGGGCCUGACAUGCUUUAAAUUAUCUGGCUCUAUUCUAAAUCAACACCUAAACCCCCAAGGAAACUGCAGAAUCAAUAUACAGGGUAAUAGCUUUGGUUCAGAGCUCCAAUAGUGUGCUUCAGAUCUGUCCAUGUGGAAACGCUUUUGUCCAAAUUUUUUAAUUGGUGGUUACCAAAGAGUUCACAAAACAGGUUUUUUUUGUUUUUGUUUUUUUGAGACGGAGUCUCGCUCUGUCGCCCAGGCUGGAGUGCAGUGGCCGGAUCUCAGCUCACUGCAAGCUCCGCCUCCCGGGUUUACGCCAUUCUCCUGCCUCAGCCUCCCGAGUAGCUGGGACUACAGGCGGCCGCCACCUCGCCCGGCUAGUUUUUUGUAUUUUUUAGUAGAGACGGGGUUUCACCGUGUUAGCCAGGAUGGUCUCGAUCUCCUGACCUCGUGAUCCGCCCGUCUCGGCCUCCCAAAGUGCUGGGAUUACAGGCUUGAGCCACCGCGCCCGGCCUCACAAAACAGGUUUGUAUGUAGCACCUUUCAUGCAAGGCAUGCUAAAAGCCUAUUUUAAAAUCACUGUGCAUAUUAUAGAAUUGUAGCCACCUCCCAAUGAAGUACUACAGCCUGUGCUGUCUUAAUGGUUUGUGUCAGGAAAUGAAAAAGAUACUGUACCAAAUCUGGAAUUACAAUGGGGAGUAAUAAUGUAUGCUAAAUGACUUUUGUAUUUUAAGUUACUUUUUGUGAGUGGUGAAUUUUGUGUUUUCUUUUCAGCUAUACUUAGUCCUGAGAUGUAUUUUUUCUUUAAGUCUUGAAUGAAUACAAAAGGAGCCCAUUUUAUAAUAUAAACCUUGAUGUACAUGUUGAGAUAUCUGGACAAUGAAAAUGCCUUAAAAGGAAUGCAUAUGGAUAAAGUUGCACUUAUAACACCCUUCAACAAAAUCUGAUUUUAAAUUGUCUUUUCUUUUCUAUUAAGGGUUUUCUUUUCAGUGUCUACCAUUGUACUUAUAACUGUUAUUAAAUACCAAAUCAAAUAAUAUAAAAGCUGUAACAUUUCCUUUAAAACUAAUGCUAAUAAGGGAUUUAGAAUUGAAUGGCAAAAUGUUUAUUACUUGGCAAUACCUGAUGUCAGUCACAGGCAUCCAACUCAUGACAAGAGAUACCACUGUUUGUUUUUUAAAAAACAUUUUUCAUUUUGGUACUCCUUCAAAAAUUAAGUUGGACUAACAUUCACAUAUCCAACUAAUAUAAAAGAAAUAAAACCAAGAGGUGAUUUUUGUAACAAAUGGUUAGUAAUCAUUUAAAAAUGAUAUCAUUUUAGCCAAGUGUUAUUUUAUUUCUUUCCGUUUUCCCUAGAGAACUAUUGUCAGACAUAACCGAUGACCUUGUUUAGUUGAUUCUGUCAUAACAUUUUAUGAUAAGUGUUAGGGGUUUGGAAAGAGCGUCUGUCAGUUUUGUCAGUCCCAAAAUAGGUUUAAAUGUGAUCUAAUAGAUUGCACAAAUGAAUCUCUCAUUUUCACUUAGACUUUAGGAGACAAAGCAACUGGCUUCAUCCUUGGGCAAGUCAGUUUUUCUGGGCCUGUUUUAACCAUAAAGUGGAGAGGGCAAUUAGACCAAACACCUAAGGUACUUAAUUUAUGUGUAUUCAUUAGUACCUUCAUUUCAUAUGCAGAGCAACCUAAAACAGC
This 5930-nucleotide long non-coding RNA is filed under the name Rhinopithecus bieti (black snub-nosed monkey). RNAcentral's name for it is "lncRNA (ENSRBIG00000045396.1)". Lineage: Eukaryota; Metazoa; Chordata; Mammalia; Primates; Cercopithecidae. The record is from RNAcentral.